UACAGAGGGUGCAAGCGUUGUUCGGAAUUAUUGGGCGUAAAGAGCGUGUAGGCGGUCCGGUAAGUCCGCUGUGAAAGUCGGGGGCUCAACCCUCGGAUGCCGGUGGAUACUGUCGGGCUUGAGUACGGAAGAGGCGAGUGGAAUUCCUGGUGUAGCGGUGAAAUGUGCAGAUAUCAGGAGGAACACCAAUUGCGAAGGCAGCUCGCUGGGACGUUACUGACGCUGAGACGCGAAAGCGUGGGGAGCAAACAGG
This 253-nucleotide ribosomal RNA is filed under the name uncultured bacterium. RNAcentral describes it as "partial 16S ribosomal RNA". It matches the Rfam family "Bacterial small subunit ribosomal RNA", at positions 524 to 776 of the family's 1533-position model. The record is from RNAcentral.